UUGGAGGGCAAGUCUGGUGCCAGCAGCCGCGGUAAUUCCAGCUCCAAUAGCGUAUAUUAAAGUUGUUGCAGUUAAAAAGCUCGUAGUUGAAUUUCGGGGUCAGUAGGUUGGUCAUGCCACUGGUAUGUACUGGUCUCACUGAUUCCUCCUUCCUGAUGAACUGUAAUGCCAUUAAUUUGGUGUUGCAGGGAAUCUGGACUGUUACUUUGAAAAAAUUAGAGUGUUUAAAGCAGGCUAACGCCUGAAUACAUUAGCAUGGAAUAAUGAAAUAGGACGUUCGAUCCUAUUUUGUUGGUUUCUAGGAUUGACGUAAUGAUUAAUAGGGAUAGUUGGGGGCAUUAGUAUUCAAUUGUCAGAGGUGAAAUUCUUGGAUUUAUUGAAGACUAACUACUGCGAAAGCAUUUGCCAAGGAUGUUUUCAUUAAUCAAGAACGAAAGUUAGGGAAUCGAAGACGAUCAGAUACCGUCGUAGUCUUAACCAUAAACUAUGCCGACUAGGGAUCGGAUGAUGUUAAUUUUUUUAAUGACUCAUUCGGCGCCUUACGGGAAAC
Molecule: ribosomal RNA, 550 nt
Filed under: uncultured Glomeromycotina
Lineage: Eukaryota; Fungi; Glomeromycota
Description: SSU rRNA
Rfam family: Eukaryotic small subunit ribosomal RNA
Source: RNAcentral